AGAACGAACGCUGGCGGCAUGCCUAACACAUGCAAGUCGAACGAGACCUUCGGGUCUAGUGGCGCACGGGUGCGUAACGCGUGGGAAUCUACCCUUGGGUUCGGAAUAACAGUUGGAAACGACUGCUAAUACCGGAUGAUGUCGCAAGACCAAAGAUUUAUCGCCCAAGGAUGAGCCCGCGUAGGAUAGCUAGUUGGUGAGGUAAGCUCACCGAAGGCGACGAUCCGUUAACUGGUAUGAGAGAUGAUCAGCCACACGUGGGACUGAGACACCGGCCCAGACCUCCUACGGGAGCAGC
This 298-nucleotide ribosomal RNA is filed under the name uncultured soil bacterium. Its description in RNAcentral is "partial 16S ribosomal RNA". It matches the Rfam family "Bacterial small subunit ribosomal RNA", at positions 26 to 352 of the family's 1533-position model. The record is from RNAcentral.